This 203-nucleotide ribosomal RNA is filed under the name uncultured bacterium. RNAcentral describes it as "partial 16S ribosomal RNA". It matches the Rfam family "Bacterial small subunit ribosomal RNA", at positions 328 to 540 of the family's 1533-position model. The record is from RNAcentral.
ACGCUCGACACCUACGGGAGCAGCAGUGGGGAAUAUUGCACAAUGGGGGAAACCCUGAUGCAGCGACGCCGCGUGAAGGAAGAAGUAUUUCGGUAUGUAAACUUCUAUCAGCAGGGAAGAAGAUGACGGUACCUGAGUAAGAAGCACCGGCUAAAUACGUGCCAGCACGCCGGACGGUAAUCUGAGGCGGCGUGGACGAAGGC